UAGGAGAGAAACUUUGGGGUGUGAGGAAGGCUUCUGCAUAAGGUGAAGGUCCAAAACCUUCCGAGAGAAAAAGAAAGAAAAGAGAGAAAAUUGGGCGCAGGGUUUUUGGUGUAUACCCUAGGGUUUCUACCUAGGGUUCGGGAAGUGAGAUUGGUGUGCCACGAGUGUCGUGAGUCCACCAAAUUUUAGAGAGAGAUCCAUCAUACUCUCAAGCAACUGUGCAGACGAUCU
RNAcentral lists this long non-coding RNA (231 nucleotides) under Elaeis guineensis (African oil palm). RNAcentral describes it as "long non-coding RNA (EGUI_LNC071656)". Lineage: Eukaryota; Viridiplantae; Streptophyta; Magnoliopsida; Arecales; Arecaceae. The record is from RNAcentral.